CCUUCUUAUCCCCUUCGAAUUUCCUAAAACCUCCGUUAAACCUUACAGGUAAGUUAACAAUGGCUUCCUCUACUCUUUCCUUUCAACUUCUCUCGCUAACAACCUUAUCCUCAAUCUCUAAAACCAGUUCUCCUUCUGCUCUCUGCAACUUUCCAUCCUCCAUUAAUCCUUUUCCCAAGCUUUUCUCCAUACCUACUUCGAUUAAGCUCUUUGAAGCCACUCCAUCGUCCAAAUUCGUCCGAAAUUUUGCUGUAGCCUCACCCUACGGUCUGGAUGAGGAUUUAUCAAGUGACGGAGAUGAAGACCAGCGGACGAAUUAUUCCCCCGACCUUAAAGUUUAUGUCGGAAACUUGCCGUGGAAUGUUGAUAGUGCAGCUCUCGCUGGACUGUUUCAACGAGCUGGGAAUGUUGAAAUGGUUGAGGUAUAAUCUACUCCUUUAAACCUAAUUCGAAACUUCAGAUCUGUUCGUUUUUUUUUUUCUCUAAAUCUGAUUAAUGUAUAUAGGUUGUAUAUGACAAAAUCACCGGAAGAAGCAGGGGUUUCGGGUUUGUGACCAUGUCCUCCGUUAAAGAAGUUGAGGCAGCUACUCGACAGUUCAAU
RNAcentral lists this long non-coding RNA (601 nucleotides) under Lactuca sativa (garden lettuce). RNAcentral describes it as "long non-coding RNA (LSAT_LNC001885)". The record is from RNAcentral. Lineage: Eukaryota; Viridiplantae; Streptophyta; Magnoliopsida; Asterales; Asteraceae.